AUUGAACGCUGGCGGCAGGCCUAACACAUGCAAGUCGAGCGGAUGAAGGGAGCUUGCUCCUGGAUUCAGCGGCGGACGGGUGAGUAAUGCCUAGGAAUCUGCCUGGUAGUGGGGGAUAACGUCCGGAAACGGGCGCUAAUACCGCAUACGUCCUGAGGGAGAAAGUGGGGGAUCUUCGGACCUCACGCUAUCAGAUGAGCCUAGGUCGGAUUAGCUAGUUGGUGGGGUAAAGGCCUACCAAGGCGACGAUCCGUAACUGGUCUGAGAGGAUGAUCAGUCACACUGGAACUGAGACACGGUCCAGACUACUACGGGAGGCAGCAGUGGGGAAUAUUGGACAAUGGGCGAAAGCCUGAUCCAGCCAUGCCGCGUGUGUGAAGAAGGCCUUCGGAUUGUAAAGCACUUUAAGUUGGGAGGAAGGGCAGUAAGUUAAUACCUUGCUGUUUUGACGUUACCAACAGAAUAAGCACCGGCUAACUUCGUG
RNAcentral lists this ribosomal RNA (484 nucleotides) under uncultured bacterium. RNAcentral's name for it is "partial 16S ribosomal RNA". It matches the Rfam family "Bacterial small subunit ribosomal RNA", at positions 30 to 507 of the family's 1533-position model. The record is from RNAcentral.